This 477-nucleotide ribosomal RNA is filed under the name uncultured anaerobic ammonium-oxidizing bacterium. RNAcentral describes it as "bacterial SSU rRNA". It matches the Rfam family "Bacterial small subunit ribosomal RNA", at positions 365 to 832 of the family's 1533-position model. The record is from RNAcentral.
UUCGCAAUGCCCGAAAGGGUGACGAUGCGACGCCGCGUGAGCGAAGAAGGCCCUAGGGUUGUAAAGCCCUGUCAGGAGUUAAGAAAUGUAGCCUCGCUAAUAUCGGGUCUAUUUGACAAAGGCUCCAAAGGAAGCCACGGCUAACUCUGUGCCAGCAGCCGCGGUAAUACAGAGGUGGCAAGCGUUGUUCGGAAUUAUUGGGCGUAAAGAGCACGUAGGUGGAUUUGUAAGUCAGACGUGAAAGCCUUCUGUUCAACGGAAGAAUUGCAUCUGAAACUACAAACCUUGAGUGUAGGAGGGGAGAAUGGAGCUUCUGGUGGAGCGGUGAAAUGCGUAGAUAUCAGAAGGAACGCCGGCGACGAAAGCGAUUCUCUGGCCUAUUACUGACACUCAGUGUGCGAAAGCUAGGGGAGCAAACGGGAUUAGAUACCCCGGUAGUCCUAGCCGUAAACGAUGGGCACUAAGUAGAGGGGUUUU